Molecule: long non-coding RNA, 258 nt
Filed under: Ananas comosus (pineapple)
Lineage: Eukaryota; Viridiplantae; Streptophyta; Magnoliopsida; Poales; Bromeliaceae
Description: long non-coding RNA (ACOM_LNC003642)
Source: RNAcentral
CUAAGUCAUAGAGUUUGUAUUAGGAUUGUGAGAAAAAUGUAAUUUUUCUUUUAUUGGAUCGAUCAUGCAGGAGAUUGUCGUUUAGUGAUUGCGAUGAUCUUCCUUUUAUUGUUUCUGAGUUGUGUUCGAGCGUUGUAUUAUGUUUUGUCACGAAAUCGCCAAAGGGGGAGAUUGUUAAGGAUUUUCUAGGUUGGCGGAUUUCGUGAAGUCGAAUGGAGUCUUGAAGAGUUGAUCACGGAGGUUUGAAGAGAAGAUUUA